RNAcentral lists this long non-coding RNA (927 nucleotides) under Homo sapiens (human). Its description in RNAcentral is "long non-coding RNA NONHSAT204651.1". Lineage: Eukaryota; Metazoa; Chordata; Mammalia; Primates; Hominidae. The record is from RNAcentral.
GAAACUGUAGCCAUCACCAAACAACAAAUCAAAGGGAAGUGUCUCAGGAGAGAUUUCUAAUUAUCAUACAUUUGUCCUUGCAGCCAAACCAGGAUGCAGUGGAAAUGGUGCCUUUGGCACUAGCAUCUUAGGUCACAAAAUCAUGAGCCAAAUGGGACAGUGGCUGAGUGAGGACACCAAACCUAUUCUUAGGAGGAGAGAGAGAUGAUGGGGGAUGAAGGGUAUGGAAUUGUAUGCUAUGGCUGCCUGCUGUCGAAGUUCUCCAGGUCCAGAGAGGAUUUAAGUUGCUGGAAUAAUCCACCCAGUCUUCGAGAUGUGAUUAUAUAAUUGAUGGUAUGUGGAUAUCACUGAUCACAAAACACAAUAAAGGACCUAAGGCAGGAAUCAGCUGGCUGGAGGAAUUUUGGAAGGGGUGAGGCAUACACUUUCUUCUAUGUUCCUGAAACCACAACAUUGUUAGGACUCAUCUGUUCAUGAGACCAGACCAAUAGAAAAUGAGCACUUCGUGGAUAAAAAAUACAGAUGGAAACUUAGUGAAAUGUGACCUCCAGUGCUGGAGAUGGACCUAAUGGGAAGUGUUUGAGUCAUGAGAGAAUAUCCUUUAUGAAUGGCUUGGUGCCUUCCCUGUGGCCAUGAGUUACUACAAGAUCUGAUUGUUAAAAAAAGAUUCUAGGACUUCCUGUCCCUCUGUCUUACUCCUCUUUUACCAUGUGACAUGCCUGCUUCCCCUUCACCUUCUGUCAUGAUUGUAAGCUUCCUGAGGUUCCCAUCAGAAGCAGAGUAGUUGCUGGUGUCAUGCUUGUACAGCCCAUGGAGCUGUGAACCAAAUAAACUUCUUUUCUUUAUAAAUUACCUAGGUAUUCCAAAGCUGAGACUGAGACUGAAUGCUAAUAGGGGACACAAUUAUGAAUUGAAAAUAGUGCUGCU